GCAGCCGCCGCGGGAACACGGAGGAUCCAAGCGUUAUCCGGAAUCAUUGGGUUUAAAGGGUCCGUAGGCGGUCUUGUAAGUCAGUGGUGAAAGCCCAUCGCUCAACGGUGGAACGGCCAUUGAUACUGCAGGACUUGAAUUAUUGGGAAGUAACUAGAAUAUGUAGUGUAGCGGUGAAAUGCUUAGAGAUUACAUGGAAUACCAAUUGCGAAGGCAGGUUACUACCAAUUGAUUGACGCUGAUGGACGAAAGCGUGGGUAGCGAACAGGAUUAGAUACCCGCGUAGUCCCUGUCUCUUAUAC
RNAcentral lists this ribosomal RNA (302 nucleotides) under uncultured bacterium. Its description in RNAcentral is "partial 16S ribosomal RNA". It matches the Rfam family "Bacterial small subunit ribosomal RNA", at positions 508 to 807 of the family's 1533-position model. The record is from RNAcentral.